This 468-nucleotide ribosomal RNA is filed under the name uncultured bacterium. RNAcentral's name for it is "partial 16S ribosomal RNA". It matches the Rfam family "Bacterial small subunit ribosomal RNA", at positions 28 to 507 of the family's 1533-position model. The record is from RNAcentral.
GACGAACGCUGGCGGCGUGCUUAACACAUGCAAGUCGAACGGAAAGGCCCUGCUUUUGUGGGGUGCUCGAGUGGCGAACGGGUGAGUAACACGUGAGUAACCUGCCCUUGACUUUGGGAUAACUUCAGGAAACUGGGGCUAAUACCGGAUAGGAGCUCCUGCUGCAUGGUGGGGGUUGGAAAGUUUCGGCGGUUGGGGAUGGACUCGCGGCUUAUCCGCUUGUUUGUGGGGUAGUGGCUUACCAAGGCUUUGACGGGUAGCCGGCCUGAGAGGGUGACCGGCCACAUGGGGACUGAGGUACGGCCCAGAAUCCAACGGGAGGCAGCAGUGGGGAGUAUUGCGCAGUGGGCGGAAGUCUGAUGCGGCAACGCCGCGUGCGGGAUGACGGCCUUCGGGUUGUGAACCGCUUUCGACUGUGACGAAGCGUGAGUGACGGUAAUGGGUAAAGAAGCACCGGCUAACUACGUG